AUUGAACGCUGGCGGCAUGCCUUACACAUGCAAGUCGAACGGUAACAGGUCUUCGGAUGCUGACGAGCGGCGAACGGGUGAGUAAUACAUCGGAACGUGCCUAGUAGUGGGGGAUAACUACUCGAAAGAGUGGCUAAUACCGCAUGAGAUCUACGGAUGAAAGCAGGGGAUCGCAAGACCUUGUGCUACUAGAGCGGCCGAUGGCAGAUUAGGCAGUUGGUGGGAUAAAAGCUUACCAAGCCGACGAUCUGUAGCUGGUCUGAGAGGACGAUCAGCCACACUGGGACUGAGACACGGCCCAGACUCCUACGGGAGGCAGCAGUGGGGAAUUUUGGACAAUGGGCGAAAGCCUGAUCCAGCAAUGCCGCGUGCAGGAUGAAGGCCUUCGGGUUGUAAACUGCUUUUGUACGGAACGAGAAGCCCCGGGUUAAUACCCUGGGGUCAUGACGGUACCGUAAGAAUAAGCACCGGCUAACUACGUGCCAGCCGCCGCGGUAA
RNAcentral lists this ribosomal RNA (498 nucleotides) under uncultured bacterium. RNAcentral's name for it is "partial 16S ribosomal RNA". It matches the Rfam family "Bacterial small subunit ribosomal RNA", at positions 30 to 523 of the family's 1533-position model. The record is from RNAcentral.